RNAcentral lists this long non-coding RNA (1237 nucleotides) under Cottoperca gobio. Its description in RNAcentral is "lncRNA (ENSCGOG00000011649.1)". The record is from RNAcentral. Lineage: Eukaryota; Metazoa; Chordata; Actinopteri; Perciformes; Bovichtidae.
CUAUCAUUUGUGCCCAUGUAUUGUCAGGGUUAUUUUUUACACUACAACUUAAUACUGUAAUACUAAACUGUAUUAAAGCUGUUAAAUAAAUUCAAUGAAAGAGGCCUGAACUUAGUAUGAGAGUUAUGUUAAAAUAACACACAGCUGAAUAAUGGAAUCCAUAACAACCACACCAGAGAUCAACACCCAUCUGUAGAGGUGUUGCUUUAUGUAUUAAAAAAACAAUACUUAUUUAGUUUUUACUCUUUUCCUUAGUAUUCAGAAUAUAAUGUCUUCCCAUUUUCCAAAUCAAACCACAUGAAAAGGCUGCAGAGCAUGUCGGAGCUUUCAACCACACCUAACAUUCUUAACUCACAGCCAGGUUUUGUUUUGGUCAAACUCCAGUUUCUGAGGUCAAAUGUACUUUCAUGAUAAAAUUGAUUGUGCCUAAUGAUGGUUAAUGAGUUUAAUGGUCUGCUGCUUAAUUUUACCAUCAGAUUUGUGUCAGCAGCUUCAUCUGAUUCAUCCAACAAUGAAUAGAAGUGCCAACCAAAUCUUUCCUGAAAUGUCGCGUUCAGGAGAAGAGGAUGGACGGAUAGAUGUAUGGACGUACGGACAACCCGACUAGAUCAUUAGUCCGGCCUUGGAUGUCGUCAGGCAUAACAAUAAUGAGCAAACAUAAGGGGGAACGUCGAGGACAAGGAAGAGGGAAUGAAAUGCUCGUCAUCACUGUGCUGGUUGCUGAAAACAUUUAUGCCACAAGACUUCCCAGAAAAAAAUCUCAACAUUUCUCUUUGUGUAUGAAUCAAACACAAACUAUAUAACAGGUUUGAUGAGAAUACUAAAGAUGUUUUCAUCCAAUUCUCUGCAAGAAAACAAAAGAGCACAUUUCCCAAAAUGUCUUUAGAGUUGAGGAGGGUGGGUGUCAGUUUCUGAUAUUGACCUGUGAAGCCCUUUUACACUUCUUUUGAUUAAGAGUGACGCAAAUGAUCUCUGCCGACAAUAUCAAUGUUGUAUCAACAAGACAAGUCAUUGCACAUGUAGUGGUGAUUAAAGUACCGUUUGGAGUUAGAGGAAGGAACAAGGCGACAGUUAACUAAGCGUGAAAUAUAAAUCCAAUGUGUAGAGUGGAAAAGCUUCAUUAGGAGUGCCUGGUUGUACUGAUAUGUGUGCGUGUGCGUGUGUAUAGAAGUAGCAGAACUAGAGGCCUGAGGGAUUAGCAAGAAAACGAAGCUUCUUCGACUUGUUCUCAAAUUAA